GAUGUCCGUGCUCACCAGCAAUGUCCAGCCUCAUGGCCGCCGUGUCCGGAGCCGCCCCGGCCGCGUUCGAGGCCGAGCAGAGCAGGAGGAGCCCCUGGAGAGCCGGGACGGGAACCAGCCUGGGGAUAAUGGGGAUAUACUGGUUUGUACUGGGAUAUACUGGUUUAUACUGGUUUAUACUGGUUUGGACUGGUUUGUACUGGUUUGGACUGGUUUGGACUGGGAGGGACUGGGAUAUACUGGGAAUAAUGGGCUAUACUGGUCUAUACUGGUCUAUACUGGUCUGUACUGGUUUAUAUUGGUCCAUACUGGUUUAUACUGGUUUAGACUGGUCCAUACUGGUCCAUACUGGUCCAUUCUGGUUUAUACUGGUCCAUACUGGUUUAUACUGGUCCGUACUUGUCCAUACUGGUCCAUACUGGUCCAUACUGGUCCAGACUGGUCUAUACUGGUCCAGACUGGUCCAUACUGGUCUAUACUGGUCCGUACUGGUCCAUACUGGUCUAUACUGGUCCGUACUGGUCUAUACUGGUUUAUACUGGUCCAUACUGGUCUAUACUGGUUUAUACUGGUCCGUACUGGUUUAUACUGGUCCAUACUGGUUUAUACUGGUCCGUACUGGUCCAUACUGGUUUAUACUGGUUUGUACUGGUUUAUACUGGUUUAUACUGGUUUAUACUGGGAGGGACUGCAGCGGUUUUGGGGGAUUUUAGGGGGAUAUUUCCAGUCCCUCCCAGUUUGUCCCA
Molecule: long non-coding RNA, 746 nt
Filed under: Junco hyemalis (dark-eyed junco)
Lineage: Eukaryota; Metazoa; Chordata; Aves; Passeriformes; Passerellidae
Description: lncRNA (ENSJHYG00000000019.1)
Source: RNAcentral